This 455-nucleotide ribosomal RNA is filed under the name uncultured bacterium. Its description in RNAcentral is "bacterial SSU rRNA". It matches the Rfam family "Bacterial small subunit ribosomal RNA", at positions 341 to 786 of the family's 1533-position model. The record is from RNAcentral.
ACGGGAAGGCAGCAGUGGGGAAUAUUGCACAAUGGGCGCAAGCCUGAUGCAGCCAUGCCGCGUGUAUGAAGAAGGCCUUCGGGUUGUAAAGUACUUUCAGUCGUGAGGAAGGUGUUAAGGUUAAUAACCUUAGCAAUUGACGUUAGCGACAGAAGAAGCACCGGCUAACUCCGUGCCAGCAGCCGCGGUAAUACGGAGGGUGCGAGCGUUAAUCGGAAUUACUGGGCGUAAAGGGCACGCAGGCGGUUAAUUAAGUUGGAUGUGAAAUCCCCGGGCUUAACCUGGGAAUGGCAUUCAAGACUGGUUAGCUAGAGUCUUGUAGAGGGGGUAGAAUUCCAUGUGUAGCGGUGAAAUGCGUAGAGAUGUGGAGGAAUACCGGUGGGCGAAGGCGGCCCCUGGGACAAAGACUGACGCUCAUGUGCGAAAGCGUGGGGAGCAAACAGGGAUUAGAUACC